GUUUCCGCUGUCGGCGGGCGGCGACGCGGCCGCGUCCGCCCCGACGCUCCUGCUGGGGGCUCUGCUGCGGUCCCCACCCUUCGCGUGCCGGCCGGCUCUCCUCUGCAACACAAGAGACGGGCCGCGGGAGGUGAGAAGGGUGGAGCACGAAACUACAACCCUGAGCUCAAGACGUGCACCCUCCACGGACUGAGCCAGCCAGACACCCCCUUAGGAUUGCUCUUUAAGAUCUUAUGUAUUCAUUUGACAGAGAUAGAGCCCAAGCAGGGAGGACAGCAGGCAGAGGGAGAGCGGGAAGCAGGCUCCCUGUUCGUCAGGCCCUGAAGGUCUGAAGGCAGAUGCUUGACGGACUGAGCCUCCCAGGUGCCCCUCACAUAUCUUUGAAACAGAGCUGAAGCACUUAGAAUUUGUGGGUAGAUGGGAACAAGUCUUUCUACGUUCUUUAAAAACGUAAAAACCCCCAAGACUGAUAGUCCUGUGUUAACUGUCAGCUGCUCAUGUCCCAUCUGGGAAUCCUGCUUGUGGCAUUCGCCAGCGGCAGAGCCCGUGACAGCAGCUCUGCCUCUUUCCAGGCUGCCCAUCUUUUGAGAUUCAUUUUGAGGAUGACCUCCUGCAGAAAGUCUUCAGUGAUCCCUCAACUGAAGAUCAACACCUCCCUUUUGGGGCCCCCAUGAAGCCCCACAUAGAGCUCAUCCCCUUCGCGGGGGUCGCGUUUCCCUGCUCCCCGGGCUCAGCGUCUGAGCUCCCUGAGGAUCCUAUCUCCCGACCCCUGCAUCUUGCACGUUAACUGGCAGAAGGUCCCCUUUCUAAAUGGUGCUCAGGAAAUAUUUGAAGACUCAAAUACUUUAUGAAAAAGUGGUCAUUUGGUUUCUAUGAUGAUAAUGUAUUGAUCUCCAGAACAUGCAUUAAAAAAUAAAAUCAUAGCAAGUGAGCCAAGUCUUGGAAGCGAAAUAAAAGGCUUCUUAGGUAUUGUUACAUCUAUGAUGGUCAUUGAUGGUUAGUAUGACUCUUUUAAGCUUUAACUCUUCCUUCUCCUCCUCACAAAAAUUACCCUUUAGGCACACCAGCUUAUGAUAACUGUACCUAGAGAAUUUUAUGUUAAUUUGAGAUAUUAAAAUGUCUCAUAUUACAGCCAAAUGUAAAAAUAAUUCGCUUUUCCCCUUUCCCCUUUCUCCUGCUUUAGGAAAGGGGAAGAUUCUUCUUCUUCUUUUUUUUUUUUUUUUUUUAAGAUUUAAUUUAUUUAUUUGACAGACAGAGAUCACAAGUAGGCAGAAAAGCAAGAGAGAGAGAGAGAAAGAGAGAGAGGAGGAAGCAGGCUCCCUGCUGAGCAGAGAGCCCAACGUGGGGCUCAAUUCCAGGACCCUGGGAUCAUGAGCUGAGCCAAAGGCAGAGGCUUUAACCCACUGAGGCACCCAGGUGCCCCGGGGAAGAUUAUUCUUAUAACAAUAUACCAAGAAAGGUGAAGAUAGAUACAUUUGCCUGUUUUAAAAUCAAAAACUUCUGUUAAUCAAAAGACAUCACAAAAAGAGUAAAAAGACAAGCCACAAAGUAUUAGGGAAGAUAAUUUCAACACGUGUAACAAAUAAAGGACUCAUAUCCAGUAUAUAUAUAAAAAGGUCUUAUAAAUAGAACUUCAAUUGUAGGAGAAAGAUUUAAAUGGAUUCUUUACAAAAGAAAAAUCCAAGUGACCAAUAAACAUGAAAAUAUGUUCAAUCUCAGUAGUAACUACGUAAAUACGAAUUAAAACCACACUGAGAUCAUACUGUAUCCACACUAGGAUGGCAAAAUGUAAAAAUCUGACAAUAUUUUUAUUGGAGCAAUAGGGACUUCCUAUUCUGUGGUUAGGAGCACAAACUGCAAUAUUCCACUUGGAAAGAGUUUGGCAUUUAUCUAAUAAAACUGAAGAAAUGUCCUAUGGCCCAGCGAUUCCACUUCUAGAUCUAUACCCUUGAGAAGCUCAUGGCCCCAUAUGCUAGGAUCCCUGCUCAUGUCCAGGACAGCGCUGCUUGUCAGAACCGAGCGUUGGAGGCAACGUCAUCACCAGUAAGCGGGGUGGAUUAAUAAAUUGCUGUAGGAAACAACAAGGGUACAUCUCACAAUGUUAAGUGAAAGAAACAACAUGUUGAAGUAUAUUUUCUG
This is a long non-coding RNA of Mustela lutreola (European mink), 2139 nucleotides long. RefSeq lists it as uncharacterized. The transcript is spliced from 3 exons. NCBI's taxonomy places the organism in Eukaryota, Metazoa, Chordata, Mammalia, Carnivora, Mustelidae. The record is from RefSeq and is a predicted model, not a curated record.